RNAcentral lists this transfer RNA (76 nucleotides) under Bacteroidales bacterium. RNAcentral describes it as "tRNA-Thr". It matches the Rfam family "tRNA". From Rfam's summary of the family: Transfer RNA (tRNA) molecules are approximately 80 nucleotides in length. Their secondary structure includes four short double-helical elements and three loops (D, anti-codon, and T loops). Lineage: Bacteria; Pseudomonadati; Bacteroidota; Bacteroidia; Bacteroidales. The record is from RNAcentral.
GCCUCUUUAGCUCAGCUGGUAGAGCAACGCAUUCGUAAUGCGUAGGUCGUGGGUUCGAAUCCCAUGAGAGGCUCCA